CUUAUUUUCUUGAUGGUGCUUCUAUCCGUUACCAAAUUUUUCAUUGAAUUGUGUUGUAGGUGAAGUAUGAGUAACCACGAUGAACCCAUGUCUAACUUUUUUGCAUAGCCAGAUGCUCUUGCUUACGGGAAGGGAGAUUUCAAGGGAGGGUGUGGGACGAGUCUUCCUCGUAUGAAACAUCGAUGACGCAAGAGGAAAUAUCAAGAUAGGUGCUUUGGAAGAAGGGGAUAUUUAAGAGGAUUUGAGGCUAGCCCAAAACUCUCUUCCUCCGAUUAUAGAUCAAAUGUUGCAGCAUAACGAGAAGUGGAGAUGCAAAGACUUUAGAUCCAAGGUGGAGAUUACUUUUGGCAUGAAACAUAUUACUAUUGGCGUGGUAUGGAUUACUAGUGGAUAUUUCUUUUUUGUGUAUGGAGGACAUGAUUUUUGUAUAAUUCUCUGUUUGUAUGGAAUUAUUAUUUUAGGUUGGAUUAUAUUUAGUUUGUAUGGAAUUUAACGUUAAAAGACCAAAUUUUUGGAUGGUUGAAAGUGAAAUAGAAACAGGUAUAUGUGUUGUUUUGUUUA
Molecule: non-coding RNA, 561 nt
Organism: Camellia sinensis
Lineage: Eukaryota; Viridiplantae; Streptophyta; Magnoliopsida; Ericales; Theaceae
Source: RefSeq, a predicted model, not a curated record